AUCCUCCAAGGCUAAAUACUCCUGACUGACCGAUAGUGAACCAGUACCGUGAGGGAAAGGCGAAAAGAACCCCGGCGAGGGGAGUGAAAGAGAACCUGAAACCGUGUACGUACAAGCAGUGGGAGCCCCACCACCAAAGCGUUUCACUUUGCGUGGUGCACAAAAUGCGUAACAGCAGCACUGAUGACGGUUGGCGGAGCGGCAGCGACGCCCAACACACCAAUCAAGCAGUGGAGCGUUUUGGGGUGGGGUGACUGCGUACCUUUUGUAUAAUGGGUCAGCGACUUAUAUUCUGUAGCAAGGUUAACCGGAUAGGGGAGCCGCAGGGAAACCGAGUCUUAACUGGGCGAAAGAGUUGCAGGGUAUAGACCCGAA
RNAcentral lists this ribosomal RNA (375 nucleotides) under Photorhabdus laumondii subsp. laumondii. RNAcentral describes it as "partial 23S ribosomal RNA". It matches the Rfam family "Bacterial large subunit ribosomal RNA", at positions 455 to 719 of the family's 2925-position model. The record is from RNAcentral. Lineage: Bacteria; Pseudomonadati; Pseudomonadota; Gammaproteobacteria; Enterobacterales; Morganellaceae.